RNAcentral lists this ribosomal RNA (185 nucleotides) under uncultured bacterium. Its description in RNAcentral is "partial 16S ribosomal RNA". It matches the Rfam family "Bacterial small subunit ribosomal RNA", at positions 1316 to 1500 of the family's 1533-position model. The record is from RNAcentral.
CUACAUGAAGCUGGAAUCGCUAGUAAUCGCGGAUCAGAAUGCCGCGGUGAAUACGUUCCCGGGUCUUGUACACACCGCCCGUCACACCAUGGGAGUCGGAAAUGCCCGAAGUCUGUGACCUAACCGUAAGGAAGGAGCAGCCGAAGGCAGGUCGGAUGACUGGGGUGAAGUCGUAACAAGGUAAC